This 253-nucleotide ribosomal RNA is filed under the name uncultured bacterium. RNAcentral's name for it is "partial 16S ribosomal RNA". It matches the Rfam family "Bacterial small subunit ribosomal RNA", at positions 524 to 776 of the family's 1533-position model. The record is from RNAcentral.
UACGUAGGGGGCAAGCGUUAUCCGGAUUUACUGGGUGUAAAGGGUGCGUAGGUGGCAUGUUAAGUUAGAUGUGAAAGCCCAAGGCUUAACUUUGGGAUUGCAUCUAAAACUGGCAAGCUAGAGUGCAGGAGAGGAAAGUAGAAUUCCUAGUGUAGCGGUGAAAUGCGUAGAUAUUAGGAGGAAUACCAGUAGCGAAGGCGACUUUCUGGACUGUAACUGACACUGAGGCACGAAAGCGUGGGUAGCAAACAGG